This 150-nucleotide ribosomal RNA is filed under the name Trametes sanguinea. RNAcentral's name for it is "5.8S ribosomal RNA". It matches the Rfam family "5.8S ribosomal RNA". Rfam says of the family: 5.8S ribosomal RNA (5.8S rRNA) is a component of the large subunit of the eukaryotic ribosome. RNAcentral also lists the same sequence under 6 other names. Lineage: Eukaryota; Fungi; Basidiomycota; Agaricomycetes; Polyporales; Polyporaceae. The record is from RNAcentral.
AACUUUCAGCAACGGAUCUCUUGGCUCUCGCAUCGAUGAAGAACGCAGCGAAAUGCGAUAAGUAAUGUGAAUUGCAGAAUUCAGUGAAUCAUCGAAUCUUUGAACGCACCUUGCGCUCCUUGGUAUUCCGAGGAGCAUGCCUGUUUGAGU